CAAUGACCCGGUGAUGGGGUCCCGAUCCAAAUCACCAGUUUUAAAGCCCAGAUUGACCACUUCCAACAGCUGGUCAAUAAACUGCAAGUAUCCCCACAUGUGGAUGCAGAGCCAAAGACAUAAGAGGACUAUAGGAGACUUCAGCUGCACAUAUAGUGUCGUAUAUAGACGUACUGUAUAUCCUAGAGGCAAGAAGGCAUCAUGUCAUCUUACAGUCUGCAGCAGCUUGUCAGAUUAACGUAGUAUUAUUCAUCCUAAUAGAGGCCCGCAUACAGUAAAAGGGCUGAAAACUGCAGCAUUUGCAAAGCAGUAGUUCAUCCAGGAAACCCUGCAGGGAGGGAAAGAGACUUAGGCUGGCAGAAGGAAGCCACGCUCGAGUAAACAUCCCUCUCAUCGUCAACCACAUGGUUCACACCAUCGACCUCCUCCUAAGGAGCAGCUACUGAGUUCCAAGAGUGACGCAUGUGCUCAAAGGCAAUGCUUCCUUCCUCCCAGUGCGGCUGCAUCCGAAGCCGACCCGAAGCUAAAGGUCGUAAUGAAGAAAGUGGCGCGUUAGCAGUGUUCUUUUUGUCAGUACGCUUCACCAUCACUGUCAGGACUCCAUCUAUCACCGUGCCAUAGACGAGCGCACGACUCCUCGGUGGGGUUUUGUAAAUAAAAUAAGCAUGUGAGGGUUUAAAGGCGUAGAAAGAAAUGUGCAUUGUGCAGGGAACCGCUGAGGAAAUUUGAGAAUUUAGUGGUUUCUUAACAAUUCUUAACGGAGAAUAACGUAGAACGUAUGAGUGGCAGAACCUAUAUUAACAAAGUAGUUCACGAGUUUGUCGAUGGGUUUAUUAUUUAGUCGCUUUUUUUGUAAAGAUUCGUUUCCAUUGUUAUUAGGUUGUGAGCCUGUUGGGAGCCCGAUGAGGUGAAUGUGGACAAAGUGAUCAAUGGGCAGAUUUUUAAACGAUGAAAAGGCCGCUGAUGGCGAGCAGAUGGAAGCAGGUGUUUGGAAAUGUGCCGACUCCACAGCUCUGUCCUCGAUGGGGCGGCGAGGGUCCGAUGCUGGGCAGGAUAAUGCAGGACCCUCUGAGGGGACCCGAAGAGCCAGGAUGCAGCCAGGAUGCAGCGCGUCCCGCGGCGACCAUGUUCCUCCUGCUGUGAAAUUUUAUCCAACCAGGCAGACGGGCGGUGUGGCCCC
This 1180-nucleotide long non-coding RNA is filed under the name Takifugu rubripes (torafugu). Its description in RNAcentral is "lncRNA (ENSTRUG00000032765.1)". The record is from RNAcentral. Lineage: Eukaryota; Metazoa; Chordata; Actinopteri; Tetraodontiformes; Tetraodontidae.